This 253-nucleotide ribosomal RNA is filed under the name uncultured bacterium. RNAcentral's name for it is "partial 16S ribosomal RNA". It matches the Rfam family "Bacterial small subunit ribosomal RNA", at positions 524 to 776 of the family's 1533-position model. The record is from RNAcentral.
UACGUAGGUGGAAAGCGUUAUCCGGAUUUAUUGGGCGUAAAGGGAACGCAGGCGGUCUUUUAAGUCUGAUGUGAAAGCCUUCGGCUUAACCGGAGUAGUGCAUUGGAAACUGGGAGACUUGAGUGCAGAAGAGGAGAGUGGAACUCCAUGUGUAGCGGUGAAAUGCGUAGAUAUAUGGAAGGACACCAGUGGCGAAAGCGGCUCUCUGGUCUGUAACUGACGCUGAGGUUCGAAAGCGUGGGUAGCAAACAGG